This 769-nucleotide ribosomal RNA is filed under the name uncultured bacterium. RNAcentral's name for it is "bacterial SSU rRNA". It matches the Rfam family "Bacterial small subunit ribosomal RNA", at positions 8 to 772 of the family's 1533-position model. The record is from RNAcentral.
AGAGUUUGAUCAUGGCUCAGAUUGAACGCUGGCGGCAGGCCUAACACAUGCAAGUCGAGCGGAUGACGGGAGCUUGCUCCUUGAUUCAGCGGCGGACGGGUGAGUAAUGCCUAGGAAUCUGCCUGGUAGUGGGGGGCAACGUUUCGAAAGGAACGCUAAUACCGCAUACGUCCUACGGGAGAAAGCAGGGGACCUUCGGGCCUUGCGCUAUCAGAUGAGCCUAGGUCGGAUUAGCUAGUUGGUGGGGUAAUGGCUCACCAAGGCGACGAUCCGUAACUGGUCUGAGAGGAUGAUCAGUCACACUGGAACUGAGACACGGUCCAGACUCCUACGGGAGGCAGCAGUGGGGAAUAUUGGACAAUGGGCGAAAGCCUGAUCCAGCCAUGCCGCGUGUGUGAAGAAGGUCUUCGGAUUGUAAAGCACUUUAAGUUGGGAGGAAGGGCAGUAAGCUAAUACCUUGCUGUCUUGACGUUACCGACAGAAUAAGCACCGGCUAACUCUGUGCCAGCAGCCGCGGUAAUACAGAGGGUGCAAGCGUUAAUCGGAAUUACUGGGCGUAAAGCGCGCGUAGGUGGUUUGUUAAGUUGGAUGUGAAAGCCCCGGGCUCAACCUGGGAACUGCAUCCAAAACUGGCAAGCUAGAGUACGGUAGAGGGUGGUGGAAUUUCCUGUGUAGCGGUGAAAUGCGUAGAUAUAGGAAGGAACACCAGUGGCGAAGGCGACCACCUGGACUGAUACUGACACUGAGGUGCGAAGGCGUGGGGAGCAAA